This 300-nucleotide ribosomal RNA is filed under the name Triticum aestivum (bread wheat). Its description in RNAcentral is "partial small subunit ribosomal RNA". Lineage: Eukaryota; Viridiplantae; Streptophyta; Magnoliopsida; Poales; Poaceae. The record is from RNAcentral.
AUGGCUCCACUAACCUCGAAGCUCUGCUGGAGAUCGUCUUGCCAUCGCCAGCCGGAGGACGCCUCCUGCGCCGGUACCGUCCCGAGAUUCGCCCCAGGCACCGCCGCCGGCGCCUCGCGGUCGCUGUCCAUGAACCGCACGGUACGGUGCUCCUGCCCGCGCGUCAACUGGUCUUGCUCAGGCAGUACCACGAAUACCACGACGCUGAUGAGCACACGUACCGUGCGCUUGCCGGCGAAGAUGAUGUUGAGGAAUCCCGCGAGCCGCCCGCCGGGGAGGCCAGCUUACGGAAGUCCCUGA